This 31-nucleotide non-coding RNA is filed under the name Mus musculus (house mouse). The record is from RNAcentral. Lineage: Eukaryota; Metazoa; Chordata; Mammalia; Rodentia; Muridae.
UAUCUUCACAAAUAAGAAAUACUUGAAGCCA